AAUAGCAACAAUGAUAAACCACUUAUUUCUAUAACUUGGAGCUCAUUUCACUUAGCAUCAUCUUAUGUGAUCAUACGUGCACAGCUAUUGAGCUAGUAUGAUCAUCUGUUAGGACUAUUCUAGAUAUUUACUAAUUAUUGCCAGUGAGAGAAACUAUAGAGUAUGUUUCUCUGGGUCUGGAUCACUUCACUUAGUAUGCAAAAUGAUUAUUU
Molecule: long non-coding RNA, 212 nt
Organism: Perognathus longimembris pacificus (Pacific pocket mouse)
Lineage: Eukaryota; Metazoa; Chordata; Mammalia; Rodentia; Heteromyidae
Exons: 3
Source: RefSeq, a predicted model, not a curated record